RNAcentral lists this ribosomal RNA (468 nucleotides) under uncultured bacterium. RNAcentral describes it as "partial 16S ribosomal RNA". It matches the Rfam family "Bacterial small subunit ribosomal RNA", at positions 28 to 507 of the family's 1533-position model. The record is from RNAcentral.
GACGAACGCUGGCGGCGUGCUUAACACAUGCAAGUCGAACGGAAAGGCCCUGCUUUUGUGGGGUGCUCGAGUGGCGAACGGGUGAGUAACACGUGAGUAACCUGCCCUUGACUUUGGGAUAACUUCAGGAAACUGGGGCUAAUACCGGAUAGGAGCUCCUGCUGCAUGGUGGGGGUUGGAAAGUUUCGGCGGUUGGGGAUGGACUCGCGGCUUAUCAGCUUGUUGGUGGGGUAGUGGCUUACCAAGGCUUUGACGGGUAGCCGGCCUGAGAGGGUGACCGGCCACAUUGGGACUGAGAUACGGCCCAGUGUCCUACGGGAGGCAGCAGUGGGGAAUAUUGCACAAUGGGCGGAAGCCUGAUGCAGCAACGCCGCGUGCGGGAUGACGGCCUUCGGGUUGUAAACCGCUUUCGCCUGUGACGAAGCGUGAGUGACGGUAAUGGGUAAAGAAGCACCGGCUAACUACGUG